Molecule: ribosomal RNA, 107 nt
Organism: Theropithecus gelada (gelada)
Lineage: Eukaryota; Metazoa; Chordata; Mammalia; Primates; Cercopithecidae
Source: Ensembl
AUCUACAGCCAUACCACCCUGAAAGUGCCCAAUCUUGUCUGAUGUUGGAAGUUAAGCAGGGUCAGGCCUCAUUAGUACUUGGACGGGAGAAAAUAAUUCUACAGUCU